UGUUUCUGUGUGUUAAAUAACUUUGAUUCCUUCCUAAGGCCUCCCUGGGAAAUAGAGGUGACAGCUACUCUCAGCAGUUGUUGCCCUGCAGGACUUCCUACGAGACAGAGGUGCUAGUUGCUCCCAGCUGAGUUUAUCAGUCCUGCAAUAAACUCUGCUUUGUUCUUCUUUGUGCUACAAAGCCGUUGCUUUGAAGCUAUACAACGUGUCCUAUUCGACGCCGUGCCUGGAGCAGAAGAAUCUAGAGUGUAGAUAACAUGUGUCUAGAUAGUGAAUGUCAUUAGCGCUGCAACUAUGUGAUGAAUUGUUUUCCCCCUCCCUUUGAGAAGUUGCAGCGCCCGGUGUAAGAGGGUUUCUAAAAGCAAUAAAAAGCGAGGAGGGGACAAAUGUGUUUCAGAGCGGUUGGAGAUUUGUAACUGUAAGCACGUCUCUGUCUGCUCUCCUCGCGAGAACAAAGAAUUUAACUCUCUCGUCUUUCCUGUGUUUGUUUAAAUUGUCUCUAAUAGGUAUUUAGACCUGACACUCCUCUACAACCGCUGAUCCUGAGCCUACCUGUCCGCCCUCCGACGUACUCCCUUUGCCUCCUGGAUCCCCGCUGUCAGACAAGACGACCACCUGGAACCUCUGAGAACUAAAACCCCGGACGCUGCAGUUACCCUCUCACUUCUCUAACCUGCCGAUCACAAUGAACUGUUUGUUCCCUGAACCAGCCUCUCUCCCUGGACCCGACCCGAGCCAACUAUUCCUGCCAGCAGUGUUUUCAAUAAAUUUAUCUUUAUUU
This is a long non-coding RNA of Xiphophorus hellerii (green swordtail), 781 nucleotides long. RefSeq lists it as uncharacterized. Lineage: Eukaryota; Metazoa; Chordata; Actinopteri; Cyprinodontiformes; Poeciliidae. The transcript is spliced from 2 exons. The record is from RefSeq and is a predicted model, not a curated record.